RNAcentral lists this transfer RNA (66 nucleotides) under Heterodoxus macropus (wallaby louse). RNAcentral describes it as "tRNA-Met". RNAcentral also lists the same sequence under 1 other name. Lineage: Eukaryota; Metazoa; Arthropoda; Insecta; Psocodea; Boopidae. The record is from RNAcentral.
AAAUAGAUAAGCUAUAUUUAAGCUAUUGGGUUCAUACCCCAAGUAAAGGUUUUAUCCUUCUAUUUA